This 87-nucleotide non-coding RNA is filed under the name Pseudomonas sp. CC120222-01a. The record is from RNAcentral. Lineage: Bacteria; Pseudomonadati; Pseudomonadota; Gammaproteobacteria; Pseudomonadales; Pseudomonadaceae.
UUUUAUGGCAGCUGUCAUGGGGCACCCCGUGUGCGCCGGUUUUGGUCUGUUCGCCGGUCUGUCAACCCAUGCACAGCUGCCACCUUU